This 447-nucleotide ribosomal RNA is filed under the name uncultured bacterium. Its description in RNAcentral is "partial 16S ribosomal RNA". It matches the Rfam family "Bacterial small subunit ribosomal RNA", at positions 28 to 523 of the family's 1533-position model. The record is from RNAcentral.
GACGAACGCCGGCGGCAGGCUUAACACAUGCAAGUCGAACGCAUCGCAAGAUGAGUGGCAGACGGGUGAGUAACGCGUGGGAACAUACCCUUUUCUACGGAAUAGCUCUGGGAAACUGGAAUUAAUACCGUAUACGCCCUACGGGGGAAAGAUUUAUCGGGGAAGGAUUGGCCCGCGUUGGAUUAGCUAGUUGGUGGGGUAAAGGCCUACCAAGGCGACGAUCCAUAGCUGGUCUGAGAGGAUGAACAGCCACAUUGGGACUGAGACACGGCCCAAACUCCUACGGGAGGCAGCAGUGGGGAAUAUUGGACAAUGGGCGCAAGCCUGAUCCAGCCAUGCCGCGUGAGUGAUGAAGGCCUUAGGGUUGUAAAGCUCUUUCACCGAUGAAGAUAAUGACGGUAGUCGGAGAAGAAGCCCCGACUAACUUCGUGCCAGCAGCCGCAGUAA